This 253-nucleotide ribosomal RNA is filed under the name uncultured bacterium. RNAcentral describes it as "partial 16S ribosomal RNA". It matches the Rfam family "Bacterial small subunit ribosomal RNA", at positions 524 to 776 of the family's 1533-position model. The record is from RNAcentral.
UACGAAGGGGGCUAGCGUUGUUCGGAAUCACUGGGCGUAAAGGGCGCGUAGGCGGAUUGUUAAGUCAGGGGUGAAAUCCUGGAGCUCAACUCCAGAACUGCCUUUGAUACUGACGGUCUUGAGUUCGGGAGAGGUGAGUGGAACUGCGAGUGUAGAGGUGAAAUUCGUAGAUAUUCGCAAGAACACCAGUAGCGAAGGCGGCACUCUGGGCCGGUACUGACGCUGAGGAGCGAAAGCAUGGGGAGCGAACAGG